CAAUGCAUAUCAUAUGUAAUGAUUAUGAUAAAAUGAUACGAGCGUUAGCGAGUUCUUAUCAUGAAGAAAAAGAUUAAAACCAUUUUACAAACGUAAAAUAUUAUAAAGUAUUAAAGGCUUAAUUUGCCGCCUCGUUGGUUUCAUUCAAGAAUAGAUUUAGUGGUCAGUCUGAAUGUAAAUACGAAAUGCAUGAUUUCAUUUCAAUACGUACGUUGAAACUGUGGCAAUGGAAUAAGUUUCCUUUAAUUGUAGGAAUGAAAGUAAGAUCAAAAGAAUUUAUAAUGUGGUGCUCUGAUGACGAUGCAAAAUUAAUUAAUGAUUUCACUAUAUCAGAUUAUUUUCAAUAUCCUAUAUAUAAAUUUAUCAACGAUCAAAGUAAAUCGAAAUUCAUGUCAUAACAACAAAUCUAUUGACGAGUCUUAUGUAGACGAAACGCUCAUCUGGCGUACCAAAUUAUAUGCCAGUUAUCCUUGAUGAGAUUUUACUGUGGCAGAAUAAUGUAUACAAAAAAAAUGAAGACAAAUAUCGACAAAAAAUCUUUAUUUCUGUCGUAAAACGUCCACGUGAUUAUAGCAACAUUCUAAAUGCCAAAUGUCGAGAGUUAAUUGUUUCAAAAUGUAUUAAAUAUAUAUAUUCUAUCUUAAUAAUUUUUAAUUCGUUGUAUUUGAUAAUUGUAUUAGUUUUAUAUUAUUUUUAAUUCGUUGUAUUUGAUAAUUGUAUUAGUUUUAUAUUAUUUUUAAUUUUGUUUUAAAUGUAGAUUAAGAGUUUCGAACAUUUCAUUAAACAUUUAGAGAUGUAUGAACCAUAUGUACAAAUUUAUCAAAAAUACUGCACAUUUGAUUUAACAACAUGUUGGCAAGAAUUAAAAGAAAAUCACGUUUAUGAGAAAUAUUUAGUGUACUAAAUAAUCUGACUAAUCUUGCCGUUUCUCUAUACUUUUAAACUAAUACAUGAUAAUAAUAGGGUUUGCUAUUCUGAGUUUGUAGAUUUGUAUUGUUUGUCCCUUAUCUUUUGUUAAGGAAUCAGGAUUAAAUGACGUCUAGGUAAA
Mytilus californianus (California mussel) is the source of this 1048-nucleotide long non-coding RNA. RefSeq lists it as uncharacterized. The record is from RefSeq and is a predicted model, not a curated record. Lineage: Eukaryota; Metazoa; Mollusca; Bivalvia; Mytilida; Mytilidae. The transcript has 2 exons.